UCUAAUCUUUUUUUUUUUUUUUUCCCCCUCCAGUGACUUGUGACGCCAGGCAGUGAGAAGCGAGUCGUCAAAGAAAACUCACCGGGCAGAUCGGCAGGGGCGGAAGUCAGCUGCCGAGUGGGGAGGCGCCCUCUGCGGGGAUGAGGUCAUCGCCACCUUUGACUCGGUGAUCCCAGAUAACCGACCAGGCUUUUCCAGGCUCAGGUGCCUGGGGACUUCCUCCUUCUCCACCUGGUCCCCGGUGCCUGAACCCAAAGGACAGAAUUCCUCGCAUGCUCCUUGGAUAGAAAAAGAGGAACUAGUAAUGUAGACCAAGCGACCAACCAACUAGACCCCAAACCUGCUCACCAGUAGCCCGUUUCUUGGUCAUGGGUCAGGUGUACACUCCGAAAAAGAAACGGAUGCUAGUAAGAUCAUGGAAAGGCUCGAGAGUCGGAAAAGGUGAUUAACGACAGUCCUGUGUUUUAUACUGAUAUUAAUCCCAAAUGAAUAUUGACUCGAGUGGCAAAAGUUGACUGACAGGGUGCCACAAGUGAGGAACGGUUGGCAUCCUCUACCUUUCUUUCCCGGCUGCGAGGGGGGCCCACACCUGCUGCCUCUUCCCACUCCUCCAGCCCUGGGAACAUGGCCGCCCAGCAUGCGCUCUGAAUCAGUCACCUUAGCCCUGUGUAGAGAGGCUCACCUGUGAUCCCAGCUGCUGCGAGGCAGGGGCAGGAGGAUCACUUGAGCCGGGAGGUUAGGCCAACCUGGGCAACAGCCAGACCCCUGUCUCAAAAAAAAAAAAAAAAGAUAUCACUAAGUGGUCAAGUUGGGCGACCCACCCCUGCCUCUCCUCCCUCUGAUCUCUGCAGGGUCCUGCCAUCUGCUUUUCUGGCCUUCCCUGAGGACCCUUCUUUUCCUUUGAGGGUGGUCAUAAGCCUCUUCCAAGUCUUGAUCUCCCAUCAUCCAUUAUUAUCGCAAGCCAAUUGCCUUUCACUCCAACCUGGAUGGUCCUGCUUUGGUGGGGCUUGAAGCCUACAACUUGUGAGGGAGGUUUUUAAAGCACAACAAUAAAAACUUACAAACAAAUGCUAGGUAUCUGUCCUUGGAAGGGCCCAGGGAAAAUGAGGGACAUGGAAACGGAAAGGUCAAAGCAAAUUCACUCCUUAUUUUCCCACUGCCAGGGACUCUUGCUUCAUAUUCUUUUAGUUCUAAAGUCCGAAUUCAGUCUAUAAAGUGUACUCAUCUUUCUGUCAGAACUGAUCCUCU
Molecule: long non-coding RNA, 1248 nt
Filed under: Marmota monax (woodchuck)
Lineage: Eukaryota; Metazoa; Chordata; Mammalia; Rodentia; Sciuridae
Source: RNAcentral